This 312-nucleotide long non-coding RNA is filed under the name Sorghum bicolor (sorghum). RNAcentral describes it as "long non-coding RNA (SBIC_LNC000411)". Lineage: Eukaryota; Viridiplantae; Streptophyta; Magnoliopsida; Poales; Poaceae. The record is from RNAcentral.
CAUCCAGACAAUAGACAGAUACAUAUAUAUACCAUCACACACACAGAGUCCACAACGAGCACAUACAUCUCACGAACAUCACAUAUAUAUAUCACGAACAUCAUGUAUGUACAUCCAGUAGUCCACAAGUUCACCAAAUCAAACCAAAGUUCCAAACCGCCGACACGUACACACCGUAGGGCUGCGAGAACUCACCCUCCUCCCCAACCGUCCUGCCUCUGCGUCGAGGGUGGUGUGUCGAAGGCUCCAGGAUCCGGUGACGUACGAGGCGGGUUAUUGGAUCCCCUGUCGACUGAGGCUGCACAAACAGUU